GAUGAACGCUGGCGGCGUGCCUAAUACAUGCCAGUCGAGCGAACAGACGAGGAGCUUGCUCCUCUGACGUUAGCGGCGGACGGGUGAGUAACACGUGGAUAACCUACCUAUAAUACUGGGAUAACUUCGGGAAACCGGAGCUAAUACCGGAUAAUAUAUUGAACCGCAUGGUUCAAUAGUGAAAGACGGUUUUGCUGUCACUUAUAGAUGGAUCCGCGCCGCAUUAGCUAGUUGGUAAGGUAACGGCUUACCAAGGCAACGAUGCGUAGCCGACCUGAGAGGGUGAUCGGCCACACUGGAACUGAGACACGGUCCAGACUCCUACGGGAGGCAGCAGUAGGGAAUCUUCCGCAAUGGGCGAAAGCCUGACGGAGCAACGCCGCGUGAGUGAUGAAGGUCUUCGGAUCGUAAAACUCUGUUAUUAGGGAAGAACAAAUGUGGAAGUAACUAUGCACGUCUUGACGGUACCUAAUCAGAAAGCCACGGCUAACUACGUG
RNAcentral lists this ribosomal RNA (497 nucleotides) under uncultured bacterium. Its description in RNAcentral is "partial 16S ribosomal RNA". It matches the Rfam family "Bacterial small subunit ribosomal RNA", at positions 28 to 507 of the family's 1533-position model. The record is from RNAcentral.